UUGGAGCUGUGUCACUAGGCGCCUUUACACACGGUGCCGUCGUCGUAAGAAAUAUCUGCUUUCGAAGUUGUGAAAAAUUUUUGCUUCGAAGAGGAUCGAGGAUUGCGUCGCGUGAUGUUUAUGCGAACACUGCACAGGUCCCUGUCGCCGGCAAGGAAGACAUUGGCUAUCGUCCCCGUAUCCUCUGCGAGCUACCACGAGAAGGUUAUUGACCACUACGAAAAUCCUCGCAACGUUGGAUCGCUCAAUAAGGACGACAAGAAUGUUGGCACUGGUCUUGUCGGCGCCCCAGCCUGCGGCGAUGUCAUGAAAUUGCAGAUCAAGGUGGAUGAAAGUGGCAAGAUUAUCGAUGCCAAGUUCAAGACGUUUGGUUGUGGUUCGGCCAUUGCAUCCAGCUCUCUUGCAACUGAAUGGAUAAAGGGAAAAAAUGUGAAUGAUGCUAUGAAAAUUAAGAACACAGACAUUGCUAAAGAGCUGAGCCUACCUCCAGUCAAGCUUCACUGCUCAAUGCUUGCUGAAGAUGCUAUCAAGGCAGCUCUCAGUGACUACAAGCGAAAGCGGGGUGAGCAGGAAGUACCGAAGGCAGGCGCAGACACCUCUGCAAGCAGUAAUGGCUGAGGCCCAGGUCUCAGCUUCUAUGGUGAUGAUCACAUCCCUGUUGUCGAUCACCUCACGUGUGUGAUGGACGAAUGGCAGCUGUCACAGCUUCUGGAGUGCUGGGGAACUGCCAGACCAUUUCCCCCAGCCAUCUGGGGGAGAAAUAUUUUUUUGAAGUUUGGUCCCCCAACACCACUUGGCUCGGUCGCCUGCCAUUGCCUCGCACUCCGUCUUCACUGCACUGCACUGCAGCUUGUCCACAGUUGAUACAGUGCUGCUGCCAAUCUAUUGCAUGACAGUACACGAGUCUUGUCUGAGUGCCAGGCUUCCAGUAAGGCUGCUAAACUUAUAGGUGCUUAGCUACUUGAAUCUUUUGGGUCAGUGAGUAUGAAGCGAGUCCAGCACGAACAUUGCAGAGUGGUGAGGGUACAAAGUGGUGAAGUCAUAGUGGGGACGUUGACUGUGGUUUACUCUCUCUCAUAUUGUAGGAAAUCUGCUUUCAUUUUUUUCAAUGGUGGGGGUACCUGGCUUAGUUGCAGCAUUUCAAGUCACAUGGUAUGCUCUUACACUGUCCAAGGUGCUGACAUGUAGCCAUUUGUUAUUAAGCUUGCGGUUGUUGUCUAUGUUGCAUAGUGAUGUCUUUAACUAUGUGUUCAUUUUGUUGUAGAAUGCAUUAUGUUUUAUGUGGCAGAAAUUGUUUAUGUUCGCAGAAAUCAUUGAAGAUUAUCCAAGUGAAUAGCUGAGCUUGCUGUUGAUGGGAGUUCAUCACUCAGUUACUGUAGAUCUUGCUCUAUUUCUUUGGAAUGUGUGCAGUAUAGUGUUGAUCUUUCUCGGUGCAUGAAUGACCAUAUUAAUCCAACUCUUGGCUGAGGCAGUCAUUGACGUCAAAAUACUCUUUGGCACCAUUUGUCCAGCCUUCCUGGUCGACCUCUUGAUGACAGGUCUUCACCACAUUUACUGUUGAUCUUUUUCUUCAGCACACUGUCGCAUAGUUUUGGCGUGUAUUGUUGGUGUGUGAGUGACGGCAUUCUUCUAAUUCUUAAGUGAGAACACGCUUAGGUGGCAUUCUCAGAAAAACCUUUAAUUUACUACAGCGGAUACAAAUGCAUCACUCUUUCCUGACACAAAGCAAAUACUGUCAUUGCUGCAGACUGGAUGUGACAAGUCUCACAACUCUCCCCUCUUGUGUGGUAAACCAUGUGACCUUGCGUGUCCUGUGUCCACCAUUCGCAAUGUUCGCUUCGUGUCAGGAAGGCGAGUGUUGCAUUGGUGUCUGCUGUAAUAAAUGAGAGGUUCUUGAAAAUUCCAUCAAAGUGUGUUCUCACCUUUCUACGUUGUCCCCUCCUGCCACUGCACUAGCAUUGGACAUGUGUAUCACAGAUUUAUUUACCAACGCGAUGAACAAAGGACAGUAGCCCUCUACCCCACUCUUACCCUCUUCCUUCCGCUCCUGUCGAGAGUCAUUUACCGCAACAAACCAAAUGGAAGAAAAAAAAAAUGCAGAUCCCACUUAGUGGGGGAAUCUGUAUUUUGCAGAGCAUUUUGCAACUAUCUAUAGCUUCUUGUGGGGUUUCGCACUUUGCAGAUUGCACAAAAUGUCCUUAUAAGACAAGCAAUUGUGUGUGUGACAGCAGCGACAAGACGAUGGCACGGCAACAACGGUAGCAUGACAGCUACUGGGAUGACGAAAUCUGCACCUCUCGAGCAGCACUGUUCUCGUCUCAGAGCCACGGCAUAACAUGCUUGCUAGAGAGCAACAGCAUCGGGCGACAUGGUGUCAGCCCGUCUUCACAUAAAACAAAAUUCUGGGACACUCUGGGAAUUUGGCAUAGGCACUUGGGGAAAACCUGGAAAACUCGGGCACUUUGGAAAUGACAACUUCGUAGACGCCCUGGAUACUCCCUAAAGUGAUAUUUGAGUACAGCUUUAUGUGUGUUUUCAUUUAGCAAUAUAUUGAGGCAACGAAAUUGAGUCCGAAAUGACUACAUCUCCUGACUAAAGUAGCUGAUCAAUACUCGAAAAUCAACAAUGCGAGAUCAGGGGCAUUCCAUGCACUCAAGGUGAAGACUACUCAGCUAUCAUGCAAACCAUUGGAAAAUAAAAUUGGGUGCCCUGUUUUGCCCAAUGAUCUCGACGUUGUUCACUGGGUUUCCACAAAAUUGGAAAGCCGAAAGAACCUGAGCACUCACUUUUGCUCAUGCAGAAAGAAAGCAGAAUUCAUCAGCAAGGCAUGGAAAGCAAGACUUCACCUCAGUAACAUUGGUGUUUCCGCAAUGCUUGAUCCUCCUGUGUUUGUCAAUGACCAUCUGUCCACAGAGAAUAAGGUGCUCGUUUCGAGAGCUCUAGCGUUACAGGAGGCAAGGAACUGGAAGUUUCUUUGGACCAAUAACUGUUAAAUUAAGGUGUUGAAGGCAACAGACAGCAGGGUCCAUUGCAUUGUUCACGUAUCUGACUUUGCAAUAAUUACCUAGCUGCAUGCACAGUUCAUAAUGCUAAUUCUUUUGAUCCCCAAACAUGGCAUUCUACUUUUCUGUCGACCGUCUCAGCCAAUUUAAGUCGCAGUGAUGUCUCUCGCUAAUUCAUUUUAAUGCUAGAAGCCUGGGCAGGCACUUUGACAGCAUAAACAAUCUACUCUCGACAUUUCGUACUGCUUUUAUGAUUAUUUGUGCGUCUGAGACUUGGCUGUGAUGAUGAUGCUCGCAAUCUUUUUUGUUUCCCACAUUGUAGUUCUGAGUACUGCCACACACAAAAGAGCAGUCAUGGUAGCAUUGCUGUCUGUAUCGACUGGUGCAACAUAUCAUUGACAUUGUAGACGCAGUCUAAACGUAAAUGUCUGCAAUUGCAUAUAUGUAUGGCUCGAAUUCGACAACCAGUUUCUUAAUUUUGACAACAAAAACCUUGUAUUCGGAGUUAUUUAUCACUCGCCAUACUCAUCCACCACUGAAUCUUGUGACACACUCACUAAAAUCAUGGAAACAUAAAAAAAAAAAAAUUAUCAUGGGUGACAUAAAUAUUAACUUACACGAUAAAACAGCCUUUCCUCUACAAGCUACUCUAGUUUCUUUCGUAAUUCUGGUUACGAGUGCCUAAUUACCCAAUCAACAAGGUGUAGUAGUAACGUAGGUAUGAUUAUUGAUCAUGCACUACAAAAUUUGCUGCUUAAGCCCGAAGCAGGUACCUUCAGUGUGGAUGCCACAAAUCAUUACCCUAUAUUUUUCUAUUUCGAUUCUCUACCUUGUGUCCGCAGCAUUUCUGCUUUCACUGAACCUGUUUUAGAUAGAAAUAGAUUCACUGAUGCUAUCACAGCUAUCAAUUGACCCUUGCUAACUGAUAUUACUGACUCACAGGAGACAUUCUCGAAGAUCCUAUCUUUGUUGCACACACAUUGAUUUGA
Molecule: RNA transcript, 3991 nt
Organism: Dermacentor albipictus
Lineage: Eukaryota; Metazoa; Arthropoda; Arachnida; Ixodida; Ixodidae
Gene: IscU
Gene name: Iron-sulfur cluster assembly enzyme
Source: RefSeq, a predicted model, not a curated record